RNAcentral lists this ribosomal RNA (250 nucleotides) under Thalassionema nitzschioides. RNAcentral describes it as "partial Bacterial large subunit ribosomal RNA". It matches the Rfam family "Bacterial large subunit ribosomal RNA", at positions 178 to 388 of the family's 2925-position model. Lineage: Eukaryota; Bacillariophyta; Fragilariophyceae; Thalassionematales; Thalassionemataceae. The record is from RNAcentral.
AGGGCAGCCGGUGAACUGAAACAUCUAAGUAGCCGGACGAAAAGAAAGUAACCACGAUUCCGUAAGUAGCGGCGAGCGAACGCGGACCAGUCCAAACCGAUUAUGCGUGAUAGCCGGCAGGCGUUGCAUAGUGGGUGUUGCGGGACUCAUUUUCUCAGGUCUGCCGAUCUGGGCACAUGAUGUUUCUUGUAUAGUCGAAUCAUUUGGGAAAGUGAUCCAUAGUGGGUGAGAGACCCGUAGACGAAAUGCA